Long non-coding RNA from Hyla sarda, 2113 nucleotides. RefSeq lists it as uncharacterized. The record is from RefSeq and is a predicted model, not a curated record. The transcript is spliced from 3 exons. Lineage: Eukaryota; Metazoa; Chordata; Amphibia; Anura; Hylidae.
CCCACAUGUACUGGUCACAUGAUUAUGACAUCAUCACAGGUCCUACACUAGAGUCCCGUAGAGAUUGAGGAGAAGUUUUGGAACACAGGUGUGAACUUCACACCGGAAUAAUUACUGACCGUGUGUUUUCGUCCUCUACAGGGGGGGAUCCUUUACCUUGUUCACCACCUCACUUACAGCUGGAAAUUCUACCUUUCCUUCUCUGCUUGCCAGAGGUAGCCUGACUGCCAUCAGGUACCGAAAUGAGAUCCUCAGACCCCUUGUGAGACCAUAUGCUGGUGCGGUUGGCCCUGGGUUCCUCCUAAUACAAGACAAUGCUAGACCUCAUGUGGCUGGAGUGUGUCAGCAGUUCCUACAAGAGGAAGGCAUUGAUGCUAUGGACUGGCCGCCCGUUCCCCUGAAUCCGAUUGAGCACAUCUGGGACGUCUCGCUCCAUCCACCACAGACUGUCCAGGAGUUGGCGGAUGCUUUAGUCCAGGUCUGGGAGGACAUCCCUCAGGAGACCAUCCUCCACCUCAUCAGGAUCAUGCCCAGGCGUUGUAGGGAGGUCAUAUGGGCACGUGGAGGCCACAUACACUACUGAGCCUCAUUGGGACUUGUUAUAAGGACAUUACAUAAAGUUGGAUCAGCCUGUAGUGGGGUUUUCCACUGUGAUUUUGAGUGUGACUCCAUAUCCAGACCUCCAGGGGUUGAUACAUUUGAUUUCCAUUGAUCAUUUUUGUGUGAUUUUUGUUGUCAGCGCAUUCAACUAUGUAAAGAGGAAAUUAUUUCAUACGAUUAGUUCAUUCAUACAGAAUUACCAUGUGUUAUCUUAGUGUUCACUUUAUUUAGCAGUGGAUAUUAUAUGUUAAAAAGUAGUCCCAUUGAAUAUAUCAACUUGUCCACACCCCCACCCCCCCUCACCCCCCGAAAAAAAAAAAAAAAUUAUUGCAGCUCUCAGUAUAUCAGAUCCUCAUUAUUUCAGGAUAUAUAUAAUGUUAAUUAUCUUAGUGUUCCCUUUAGUUUCAUGAGCAGUGUACAUUACAUUACUUAUCCUGUAUUAUACUCCAGAGCUGUACUCACUAUUCUGCUGGCGAGGUCACUGUGUACAUACAUUACAUUACUUAUCCUGUACUGAUCCUGAGUUAUAUCCUGUAUUAUACUCCAGAGCCGUACUCACUAUUCUGCUUGUGAGGUCACUGUGUACAUACAUUACAUUACUUAUCCUCUACUGAUCCUGAGUUAUAUUCAGUAUUAUACUCCAGAGCUGUACUCACUAUUCUGCUGGUGAGAUCACUGUGUACAUACAUUACAUUACUUAUCCUGUACUGAUCCUGAGUUAUAUCCUGUAUUAUACUCCAGAGCUGUACUCACUAUUCUGCUGGUGAGAUCACUGUGUACAUACAUUACAUUACUUAUCCUGUACUGAUCCUGAGUUAUAUACUGUAUUAUACUCCAGAGCUGUACUCACUAUUCUGCUGGUGAGAUCACUGUGUACAUACAUUACAUUACUUAUCCUGUACUGAUCCUGAGUUAUAUCCUGUAUUAUACUCCAGAGCUGUACUCACUAUUCUGCUGGUGAGAUCACUGUGUGCAUACAUUACAUUACUUAUCCUGUACUGAUCCUGAGUUAUAUCCUGUAAAUCUUUUAUUAGAAAAAUAUAAAUCAUAACAUACACAAAACCAGCACAACUUUGCCAUAACGGAAAACAACAGCAUGAAAUAACACAAACCCAACCAUAUAUUUAAAUAAAAGAACAAAAAAUCCUGCCUAAAUGGACAGCCCAGCUUUUCCUAAAAAUACUAGUACUACACCAUACAUAACCAAACACACAUGCAUGCAUACCUAAUGUGCAAAAAAAAAAAAAAAAUAGCAUUAUUUAGCUUUAACUAAAAAAACGCCCAAACUUGGGAAAAUCCCACAUUACAAAAACACAACAAGCACUCCCACCGCACACAAUUUUAUUUUUAAUACUUUUUUUUCCGAAUUAUUACAUUUUUUUUAAAUUAAUAAUAAUACUAUAUUAUCCACAUACUACACACAUGCACACACAUAACCAUUUCUUUACAACAUAUUAAAAAACUAAAUCUACAACUCAAAAACACCCAAACUUGGGAAAAUCACAUAUUACAA